Molecule: ribosomal RNA, 492 nt
Filed under: uncultured bacterium
Lineage: Bacteria
Description: partial 16S ribosomal RNA
Rfam family: Bacterial small subunit ribosomal RNA
Source: RNAcentral
AGUGAACGCUGGCGGUAGGCCUAACACAUGCAAGUCGAACGGCAGCACAGUAAGAGCUUGCUCUUACGGGUGGCGAGUGGCGGACGGGUGAGGAAUACAUCGGAAUCUACUUUUUCGUGGGGGAUAACGUAGGGAAACUUACGCUAAUACCGCAUACGACCUACGGGUGAAAGCAGGGGAUCUUCGGACCUUGCGCGAUUGAAUGAGCCGAUGUCGGAUUAGCUAGUUGGCGGGGUAAAGGCCCACCAAGGCGACGAUCCGUAGCUGGUCUGAGAGGAUGAUCAGCCACACUGGAACUGAGACACGGUCCAGACUCCUACGGGAGGCAGCAGUGGGGAAUAUUGGACAAUGGGCGCAAGCCUGAUCCAGCCAUACCGCGUGUGUUAAGAAGGCCUUCGGGUUGUAAAGCCCUUUUGUUGGGAAAGAAAAGCAGCAGGUUAAUACCCCGCUGUUCUGACGGUACCCAAAGAAUAAGCACCGGCUAACUUCGUG